Molecule: ribosomal RNA, 460 nt
Filed under: uncultured bacterium
Lineage: Bacteria
Description: partial 16S ribosomal RNA
Rfam family: Bacterial small subunit ribosomal RNA
Source: RNAcentral
CCUACGGGUGGCAGCAGUGAGGAAUAUUGGUCAAUGGACGAGAGUCUGAACCAGCCAAGUAGCGUGAAGGAUGACUGCCCUAUGGGUUGUAAACUUCUUUUAUCUGGGAGUAAAAUGUUCCACGUGUGGGGUUUUGUAUGUACCAUAUGAAUAAGGAUCGGCUAACUCCGUGCCAGCAGCCGCGGUAAUACGGAGGAUCCGAGCGUUAUCCGGAUUUAUUGGGUUUAAAGGGUGCGUAGGUGGAUUGUUAAGUCAGUGGUAAAAGUUUGCGGCUCAACCGUCAAACUGCAGUUGAAACUGGCAGUCUUGAGUACAGUAGAGGUGGGCGGAAUGCGCGGUGUAGCGGUGAAAUGCUUAGAUAUCACGAAGAACUCCGAUUGCGAAGGCAGUUCACUGGACUGAAACUGACACUGAGGCUCGAAAGUGUGGGUAUCAAACAGGAUUAGAUACCCUGGUAGUC